UUUCGUUUUUUUUUUGUUGUUGUUGUUUUUUUUUUUUGCUUCUCCUUCUCAGCAGGAGACGGUCCCUGUUUUAAAUUCACGAUCGAACAUUCAACUAAUUCAGUUAGUCGAUUUUCGACGAAAGGAACUGCAUUAAUCGUGACGUAACGUAGAUGGGUUUUAUUGAUAGAAAAAACUAAAAUGGGCAACACUUCUUUUCCAUCAAAACACCGAAGACAAAUUUCUCUAUUAAAUAAUUUCUGUGUUGUUUCAAUUUUUCAUCCUAGGGUGUAGAUGAGACCUUCAUCCAGUACGUACAUCCAUUGGAACACCGGAAGAUGAACCUUGUGUGCUGAAAUCAGCUUAAAGAAAAAUACAUUGCCUGUGACGUGGAUUGGGAUUAAGCCAUUUGAUGUACAAGAUCGACCAUUAUGUUGAAGUACGUCACAACAGGAAAGGCUUCCAUUUCAUUUACGAAAGAAAACAUUUAGGAAGAGCUGAUGAAGCAUGAAUAGCAGAUUGACAACUCAUUGUCAUGUACUUUCCAACAACAGCAUUACAGGCAAUGAAACAUUUGACAUCAAAGCCAUCAGAAUCAUGCAUGGUUUGAAGCAAUUAGGCAACGUCUAAUUUAUAUGAAAAAAAGGAAAAGGGGUAACAAAAGAAAAGUAUUUAAAGCCGUCUGACCGUUAUUUUGGAACAUGCUGAAUCUCGAUGGUGUCUUUUUGAAAGACGUGGAUCGCUUUGUCCUGACCCUGUUUACAGAUGUGAUGGAGUUCCCGAUUGUGGACGAGUUCGUGAUCCAAACUUCAUGAGUGGCUUAUGUAUGCUUACAUAUGGUUUUGUGUGGAAUCCUUGGGUGUUCCGUAGUUGCUGAAUCAGGAAAUUUAUGUGUGGCAGUUUUGUUAGCUGCUUCCAUGCUACAUCUUUGGGUGAUUUAUUGCUAUGAUGCACUCUUUCUACGGCUCUGC
This is a long non-coding RNA of Daphnia carinata, 950 nucleotides long. RefSeq lists it as uncharacterized. The record is from RefSeq and is a predicted model, not a curated record. The transcript has 5 exons. Lineage: Eukaryota; Metazoa; Arthropoda; Branchiopoda; Diplostraca; Daphniidae.